RNAcentral lists this ribosomal RNA (497 nucleotides) under uncultured bacterium. RNAcentral describes it as "partial 16S ribosomal RNA". It matches the Rfam family "Bacterial small subunit ribosomal RNA", at positions 28 to 507 of the family's 1533-position model. The record is from RNAcentral.
GAUGAACGCUGGCGGCGUGCCUAAUACAUGCAAGUCGAGCGAACGGACGAGAAGCUUGCUUCUCUGAUGUUAGCGGCGGACGGGUGAGUAACACGUGGAUAACCUACCUAUAAGACUGGGAUAACUUCGGGAAACCGUAGCUAAUACCGGAUAAUAUUUUGAACCGCAUGGUUCAAAAGUGAAAGACGGUCUUGCUGUCACUUAUAGAUGGAACCGCGCUGCAUUAGCUAGUUGGUAAGGUAACGGCUUACCAAGGCAACGAUGCAUAGCCGACCUGAGAGGGUGAUCAGCCACACUGGAACUGAGACACGGUCCAGACUCCUACGGGAGGCAGCAGUAGGGAAUCUUCCGCAAUGGGCGAAAGCCUGACGGAGCAACGCCGCGUGAGUGAUGAAGGUCUUCGGAUCGUAAAACUCUGUUAUUAGGGAAGAACAUAUGUGUAAGUAACUGUGCACAUCUUGACGGUACCUAAUCAGAAAGCCACGGCUAACUACGUG